Molecule: ribosomal RNA, 378 nt
Filed under: uncultured eukaryote
Lineage: Eukaryota
Description: partial 18S ribosomal RNA
Rfam family: Eukaryotic small subunit ribosomal RNA
Source: RNAcentral
CAAUAGCGUAUAUUUAAGUUGUUGCAGUUAAAAAGCUCGUAGUUGGAUUUUGGGUCGGGGGCACCGGUCCGCCGUUCCGGUGUGCACUGGUGGCCCCUUCCUUUCUGCCGGGGACGUGCGUCGCACUUAAUUGGGUGGCGUUCGGAGUCGGCGUUGUUACUUUGAAAAAAUUAGAGUGUUCAAAGCAAGCCAUCGCUCUGAAUACAUUAGCAUGGAAUAACAUGAUAGGACUCCGGUCUUAUUUUGUUGGUUUCCGAGACUGGAGUAAUGAUUAAGAGGGACGGUCGGGGGCAUCCGUAUUUCAUUGUCAGAGGUGAAAUUCUUGGAUUUAUGAAAGACGAACUUCUGCGAAAGCAUUUGCCAAGGAUGUUUUCAUUA